ACGAGUGGCGAACUGGUGAGUAACACGUGGGUAACCUGCCCUUGAAGUAGGGGAUAACACUUGGAAACAGGUGCUAAUACCGUAUAACAACCAAAACCACCUGGUUUUGGUUUAAAAGACGGCUUCGGCUGUCACUUUAGGAUGGACCCGCGGCGUAUUAGCUUGUUGGUAAGGUAACGGCCUACCAAGGCGAUGAUACGUAGCCGACCUGAGAGGGUAAUCGGCCACAUUGGGACUGAGACACGGCCCAAACUCCUACGGGAGGCAGCAGUAGGGAAUCUUCCACAAUGGACGAAAGUCUGAUGGAGCAACGCCGCGUGAGUGAUGAAGGGUUUCGGCUCGUAAAACUCUGUUGUUGGAGAAGAACAGGUGUCAGAGUAACUGUUGACAUCUUGACGGUAUCCAACCAGAAAGCCACGGCUAACUACGUGCCAGCAGCCGCGGUAAUACGUAGGUGGCAAGCGUUGUCCGGAUUUAUUGGGCGUAAAGCGAGCGCAGGCGGUUUUUUAGGUCUGAUGUGAAAGCCUUCGGCUUAACCGGAGAAGUGCAUCGGAAACCGGGAGACUUGAGUGCAGAAGAGGACAGUGGAACUCCAUGUGUAGCGGUGAAAUGCGUAGAUAUAUGGAAGAACACCAGUGGCGAAGGCGGCUGUCUGGUCUGUAAACUGACGCUGAGGCUCGAAAGCAUGGGUAGCGAAACAGGAUUAGAUACCCUGGUAGUCC
RNAcentral lists this ribosomal RNA (722 nucleotides) under Lentilactobacillus buchneri. Its description in RNAcentral is "bacterial SSU rRNA". It matches the Rfam family "Bacterial small subunit ribosomal RNA", at positions 91 to 796 of the family's 1533-position model. The record is from RNAcentral. Lineage: Bacteria; Bacillati; Bacillota; Bacilli; Lactobacillales; Lactobacillaceae.